RNAcentral lists this long non-coding RNA (3063 nucleotides) under Xyrichtys novacula (pearly razorfish). The record is from RNAcentral. Lineage: Eukaryota; Metazoa; Chordata; Actinopteri; Labriformes; Labridae.
UUGUGUCGUCGACCGAAAUCAGUACUACUAGUUGCCAUCCGCCGUUAACCAAGAAGGAGAUAAAGAAGUACACAUUACUGCUCGACCUCCCAUAAUCAACCAAAUCCAGAUUCUGCAAACAAAGGAUUGGAGCCAAAUAAGCCGCGACUUUCUCAAACCUGGUGAUCCGAUACCGAGGUUUAAAUUUUCGCUCCAAACCGGAUUCAGCUCAGUUUCCACACCAGAAAACGCUCAUAAAGUAAAAAGAGAAGGAGGAAGUCGUCCAAGUGGUACCACAGUAACCACAAAGUUCCGUUUUCGCUGCUUUCGCUCUUGCGUUUGAGGAAAAUGUCCCGAUUUCAGGAUCUCGAUGAUUUAUUUAAUCGGCGGCUGCUGGCUGCGGUAAUCACGGACCUGGUCGAAAAUAGAACAGAGUCUGGAUACGAAGAGGAGCUCCGCCGGCAGAAAAAACUGCUGGCUGUGAUUUUAACACCCGAAAUCAAGCUGCACAGAGCAGGUCAGUUUUCCUUACACUUCUGGAUACAUGUUUCAAUGCCUUUACUGAAGCAAGCGCCACACACAGGCUGCAAUAAACCAUAUUAAUAAAAUGGCAAAAUAAUAUGAUUAAACCUGAAAUGACUUUAGGGCAAAAAUAGUAUUUGUUUUCAAGGAAAAGUUUUAUUACGAAUAUAUGAAGUACUACACAACCGCAACAACAAAUACAACAGCUGUCCUAUAGUGUUUUAUCCUAUUAACUGCUGGGAAAGGGAAAAAAAUCAAGUACUUGUAGUUCAAGAGUUAAAAAGAGCUAAAAUCCUGUCUGAUUCAGAGGGGUAAAACUUUGUCUCUUCAGUGUUUCUUUACCCUUAAGCCCCUUUAUUUUAGAGGGCUUGAUAAACAUCUCACCCACUAUAGCAGGGUAUUGGGUCGAGGGAAAAAAACUGUUUAAAACACUGAAAUUUCCUUGUUUUUCCAAAGUAUAUGUCUGUCUCCAAUUGUGAUGUACAAUUGAAUAAUUAUUUACUUCAAUAAAUGUCAGUGAGGGGAUUAGGAAUUGAAGUUUGGGGGGGUCUGCUGACAGACACACAAACUAUCAUUGUGAACCUAGUUGAUUUGGAUCCAUGUGAACUAAAUGUGAGCUGAAUUCUGAGCUCUUAGUGUGAACUCUCACAAUGCUGCUCUUGGUUACCUGGGUUAAGUGUUUUAUCAACACUGUGAUUGGUUGCCUGGAACUAUGGUGCAGCAGCUUUUUGCACCAGGCUGCAUCCAUACAAUUUUGCCCGAGAAGUUUCAGGAGCACAACAAUGAGCAUCAUAACAAAUGCUGAAACUGAUUCGAGAAAAGUAACAGAUUUAGUGGUGCCUCUUCGACUAAAUCCAUGCUGCUGACAUUGUUCAGUUCUUGUCCGGACUGUUGACAAAUAGUCUGCUGCUCUGAGACAGCACAUAAUUAGCCGGUGAGCUAAUUAAGUCCAACACUAGAGGUGGUAACAUUAGUUCAUAAUCCCCACACUCUCUCUUAUCUUUCUUAAGAAUAUCAUUGAGUUUUUAAAUCUGCUUUCAUAUCUGCUGAUGUUUCCAUUACCUUCUGUUUCAUUAUUGUUUUUCUGUGCCUUGCAGAUAUCCAGCAGGUGUUGGUGAAAAAAGAGUUUCUCUCUGAGCAGCAGGAGAGGAGUCCCACUCUGGACCAGGGAUACACUGAGCCCCCGAACAUUUGCAAGGAACAGAAUUAUGGUGGACAAGAACCAGCCAGUAACUCAGAUUCAAGGAUAAAUAUACAACGAAAGACUCAAGACUCCCCUGAACCUGAGACUGAGGGCAGUGAUGAGAAUUGGAAUGAUACCAGACCACAAAAGUCAAGUCUAGUGUCUGUAAACAAAGUGAAAAAGAAGAUGCUGAAGAGGCUUGAGAAAUCACGUGUUUGCUCAAAGUGUUGUCGAAUAUUCAAAACACGACAAGAACUAGCAAUCCACCUGAAAGUUCACUCAGAGGAGAGACCCUUCAGCUGCCCAGAGUGUGGCAAAAUAUUCAAAACUAAAAAUUUACUAGGACAACACAUGGCAGUUCAUUUGGAUGAGAAACCCUUCAGCUGCUCAGAGUGUGGCAAAACAUUCAAAACUAAAAAUUAUCUGGCCCAACACGUGAGAGUUCACUCAGAUGAGAAACCCUUCAGCUGCUCUGAAUGUGGCAAAACAUUCAAAACUAAAUACGACCUGGCAAGCCACAUGAGAGUUCACUCAGAUGAGAGACCCUUCAGCUGCUCUGAAUGUGGCAAACCUUUCAAAACUAAAGGAGAACUGGCAAGCCACAUGAGCGUUCACACAAGGGAGAGACCCUUCAGCUGCCCAGAGUGUGGUAAAUUGUUUAAAACAAAAAGGCUGAGGACCAAUCACAUGGGAGUUCACACAGAGGAGAGACCCUUCAGCUGCUCAGAAUGUGGCAAAACAUUCAAAAGUAAAGGAGACCUGGCAAGACACAUGAGAGUUCACACAGAGGAGAGAGCCUUCAGCUGCCCAGAAUGUGGCAGUACAUUUAAAACAAAAACCCAUCUGGUGCACCACAAGACGGUUCACUCAGAGGAGAGACCCUUCAGCUGCCCAGAGUGUGGUAAAUUGUUUAAAACAAAAAGGCUGAGGACCAAUCACAUGAGAGUUCACUCAGAUAAGAGACCCUUCAACUGCUCGGAAUGUGGCAAAACAUUCAAAAGUAAAAAAGAACUGGCCCCCCACAUGAGAGUUCACACUGGAGAAAGACCCUAUAGCUGCCAUGGAUGUGAUAAACUUUUUCAAACUAAACAAUCGCUAAAUAGACACAUUCAAUCUCAAAGGGUGAAGAAGUCCACUGGCUGUUGUGUUUGAAGGGAAGUACUCUUUGGAAAAUGAAGUCAGGUUUCACAUUUUCUAGUUUAUGCUGGGGAGUAGAUUUUGAGUUUUUUACAGUGUGGUGAAGGAGUUAAACAUAACAUUUUUCAAAACCUACAAAUGUUGAUUCGUACUAGAGAGAGACAUUUUCGUUCUGUGUAUAAUAGAAUAUAUUGACACUAGGCUAGUCCAAGAAUGUCACAUGGCUCUUCAGGUGUGUGUGU